UGAGUAACCUGCCCUUAACUCUGGGAUAAGCCUGGGAAACUGGGUCUAAUACCGGAUAUGACUCCUCAUCGCAUGGUGGGGGGUGGAAAGCUUUCUUGUGGUUUUGGAUGGACUCGCGGCCUAUCAGCUUGUUGGUGAGGUAAUGGCUCACCAAGGCGACGACGGGAGCCGGCCUGAGAGGGUGACCGGCCACACUGGGACUGAGACACGGCCCAGACUCCUACGGGAGGCAG
RNAcentral lists this ribosomal RNA (233 nucleotides) under uncultured bacterium. Its description in RNAcentral is "partial 16S ribosomal RNA". It matches the Rfam family "Bacterial small subunit ribosomal RNA", at positions 118 to 351 of the family's 1533-position model. The record is from RNAcentral.